UACAGAGGUGGCAAGCGUUGUUCGGAAUUACUGGGCGUAAAGGGCGCGUAGGCGGCCUUCUAAGUCAGACGUGAAAUCCCCCGGCUUAACCUGGGAACUGCGUCUGAUACUGGAGGCUUGAGUAUGGGAGAGGGAUGUAGAAUUCCAGGUGUAGCGGUGAAAUGCGUAGAUAUCUGGAGGAAUACCGGUGGCGAAGGCGGCAUCCUGGACCAUUACUGACGCCGAGGCGCGAAAGCUAGGGGAGCGAAACGGG
Molecule: ribosomal RNA, 253 nt
Filed under: uncultured bacterium
Lineage: Bacteria
Description: partial 16S ribosomal RNA
Rfam family: Bacterial small subunit ribosomal RNA
Source: RNAcentral